GAUGAACGCUGGCGGCGUGCCUAAUACAUGCAAGUCGAGCGAACGGACGAGAAGCUUGCUUUUCUGAUGUUAGCGGCGGACGGGUGAGUAACACGUGGAUAACCUACCUAUAAGACUGGGAUAACUUCGGGAAACCGGAGCUAAUACCGGAUAAUAUUUUGAACCGCAUGGUUCAAAAGUGAAAGACGGUCUUGCUGUCACUUAUAGAUGGAUCCGCGCUGCAUUAGCUAGUUGGUAAGGUAACGGCUUACCAAGGCAACGAUGCAUAGCCGACCUGAGAGGGUGAUCGGCCACACUGGAACUGAGACACGGUCCAGACUCCUACGGGAGGCAGCAGUAGGGAAUCUUCCGCAAUGGGCGAAAGCCUGACGGAGCAACGCCGCGUGAGUGAUGAAGGUCUUCGGAUCGUAAAACUCUGUUAAUAGGGAAGAACAUAUGUGUAAGUAACUGUGCACAUCUUGACGGUACCUAAUCAGAAAGCCACGGCUAACUACGUG
RNAcentral lists this ribosomal RNA (497 nucleotides) under uncultured bacterium. Its description in RNAcentral is "partial 16S ribosomal RNA". It matches the Rfam family "Bacterial small subunit ribosomal RNA", at positions 28 to 507 of the family's 1533-position model. The record is from RNAcentral.